ACGUAGGGUGCAGGCGUUAAUCGGAAUUACUGGGCGUAAAGCGUGCGCAGGCGGCUCCUUAAGUCAGAUGUGAAAGCCCCGGGCUUAACCUGGGAACUGCGUUUGAAACUGGGGAGCUAGAGUGUGGAAGAGGGGGGUGGAAUUCCAGGUGUAGCAGUGAAAUGCGUAGAGAUCUGGAGGAACACCGAUGGCGAAGGCAGCCCCCUGGGCUAACACUGACGCUCAUGCACGAAAGCGUGGGGAGCAAACAGGAUUAGAUACCCUGGUAGUCCACGCCCUAAACGAUGUCAACUGGUUGUCGGGGAAGUAAUUCCUUGGUAACGAAGCUAACGCGUGAAGUUGACCGCCUGGGGAGUACGGCCGCAAGGCUA
This 371-nucleotide ribosomal RNA is filed under the name uncultured bacterium. RNAcentral's name for it is "bacterial SSU rRNA". It matches the Rfam family "Bacterial small subunit ribosomal RNA", at positions 525 to 896 of the family's 1533-position model. The record is from RNAcentral.